CCUACGGGAGGCAGCAGUGAGGAAUAUUGGUCAAUGGGCGCGAGCCUGAACCAGCCAAGUAGCGUGAAGGAUGACUGCCCUACGGGUUGUAAACUUCUUUUAUAAAGGAAUAAAGUGAGGCACGUGUGCCUUUUUGUAUGUACUUUAUGAAUAAGGAUCGGCUAACUCCGUGCCAGCAGCCGCGGUAAUACGGAGGAUCCGAGCGUUAUCCGGAUUUAUUGGGUUUAAAGGGAGCGUAGAUGGGUUGUUAAGUCAGUUGUGAAAGUUUGCGGCUCAACCGUAAAAUUGCAAUUGAUACUGGGGGCCUUGAGUGGGCGAGAAGAAGGCGGAAUGCGUGGUGUAGCGGUGAAAUGCAUAGAUAUCACGCAGAACCCCGAUUGCGAAGGCAGCCUUCCGGCGCCCUACUGACGCUGAGGCACGAAAGUGCGGGGAUCGAACAGGAUUAGAUACCCCGGUAGUC
This 460-nucleotide ribosomal RNA is filed under the name uncultured bacterium. RNAcentral's name for it is "partial 16S ribosomal RNA". It matches the Rfam family "Bacterial small subunit ribosomal RNA", at positions 338 to 795 of the family's 1533-position model. The record is from RNAcentral.